CCUUCUCAAAUAAUUAUUAUUUGGUUGUGAGUGAUACUCUACUGAGUUAACUUGAAAUUGUCGGCCGUUUUGUGUCUUUUGCAGGAUGCUUUUUUCUCGAAUGAGAAGGAAAUCAUUUUUGUCGUAUUAGGUUUUACCAACUUCGGCAGCAGUAGUUUCUCUCUCGCUAAGUUCUGGACUGAAGUCUUGCAGCGCAUUGGCAAACAAUACUCUUUAAGU
Molecule: ribosomal RNA, 219 nt
Filed under: Jamesozyma rosinii
Lineage: Eukaryota; Fungi; Ascomycota; Saccharomycetes; Saccharomycetales; Saccharomycetaceae
Description: Kazachstania rosinii ribosomal RNA
Source: RNAcentral